RNAcentral lists this long non-coding RNA (551 nucleotides) under Chinchilla lanigera (long-tailed chinchilla). RNAcentral describes it as "lncRNA (ENSCLAG00000023444.1)". Lineage: Eukaryota; Metazoa; Chordata; Mammalia; Rodentia; Chinchillidae. The record is from RNAcentral.
GGUUGCAGAGGUGAACGUCACACUUAGCUUGUGGGUCCAGAAGUUAAAGUUCUUACCACAUAGCCCUGUGACGGGCUCAGGCAAUGGCCCCAGGUGAGCCACAGCCAGCAGGGCUCUCCCCACUUGGACUGAGUUCCUGAGAGCAUGUGUGUGACUCGGCUCAGCUUGGCGGCACACAGGAUGACGCUCUCGGCAACGUGGAAGGCUUGUGCUUGAUUCUCAGGGGUACAUUCAUGGACAUCAUCUUCAAUGUUUUAGGGGAAAUGUCCAGUCCGUCCGAGUCGAUACCGGCUCAUCUUUCUUGGAAGAGACGCCUUCAGCCCAGUGCUCCUAUCCAACAGCCAUAAUUCAGCCAAAGUCCGCCAGAGACAGCAAAAUGAACCAUUGACAGAACUGGAAUCAAAACGCAGUUCAAAAAAAAUUUUGUUGAAAAGGAUCUAAUUUUUAUAUGCUGGUUUGGAUGUCCCCUCAAUUUGGGGGAGGUCUGUAAGUUUUAUUCCUUUGAGAAACAGUGAAUUUUUUAUUAGUGCGUGUUUGUAAUACAGAAAAAU